UACGGGGGGAGCAAGCGUUGUUCGGAUUUACUGGGCGUAAAGGGCGCGUAGGCGGCCACCGCAAGUCGAUUGUGAAAUCUCCGGGCUUAACCCGGAAAGGUCAACCGAUACUGCGGGGCUAGAGUGCGGAAGGGGCAACUGGAAUUCUCGGUGUAGCGGUGAAAUGCGUAGAUAUCGAGAGGAACACCUGCGGCGAAGGCGGGUUGCUGGGCUGACACUGACGCUGAUGCGCGAAAGCCAGGGGAGCAAACGGG
RNAcentral lists this ribosomal RNA (254 nucleotides) under uncultured bacterium. RNAcentral describes it as "partial 16S ribosomal RNA". It matches the Rfam family "Bacterial small subunit ribosomal RNA", at positions 524 to 776 of the family's 1533-position model. The record is from RNAcentral.